Molecule: ribosomal RNA, 482 nt
Filed under: uncultured bacterium
Lineage: Bacteria
Description: partial 16S ribosomal RNA
Rfam family: Bacterial small subunit ribosomal RNA
Source: RNAcentral
GACGAACGCUGGCGGCGUGCUUAACACAUGCAAGUCGAACGAUGAAGCCGGGAUACGCGGACUUCGUUUCAAAUUUCACUUCGGAUUAGUGGCAGACGGGUGAGUAACGCGUUUGCAACCUACCUCUUACAAAGGGAUAGCCUCGCGAAACCGUGAUUCUUACCAUUUGACACAUUCAUAAGGCAUCUUCAGAAUGUUAAAGCUACGGCGGUAAGAGGUGUGCUCGCGUUCCAUUAGCUUGUGGGUGAGGUAACGGCCCACCAAGGGGACGAUGGGUACCCGGACUGGGAGGGCGAACGGUCACAUUGGAACUGAGACACGGUCCAAACACGUAAGGGAGGAAGGAGUGGGGAAUAAUGAACAAUGGAGGGAAGACGGAGGAAGCGAGGGCGCGUGAGCGAUGAAGGAAGGCGUUACGUAAAGCUCGGUUGUAAGGGAAGAAAAGGAAUGUAAAAGAGGAGAAAGCCCCGGCUAAAUAAGUG